GUAGGGAAUAUUGGGCAAUGGUCGGAAGACUGACCCAGCCAUGCCGCGUGCAGGAAGACGGCCCUCUGGGUUGUAAACUGCUUUUAUCUGGGAAGAAAAAGGCCAUGCGUGGCAAAUUGCCGGUACCAGAUGAAUAAGCACCGGCUAACUCCGUGCCAGCAGCCGCGGUAAUACGGAGGGUGCGAGCGUUGUCCGGAUUUAUUGGGUUUAAAGGGUGCGUAGGCGGCUGAUUAAGUCAGCGGUGAAAGACUUCGGCUUAACCGGAGCAGUGCCGUUGAUACUGGUUGGCUUGAGUGUCGGAGGGGUACAUGGAAUUGAUGGUGUAGCGGUGAAAUGCAUAGAUACCAUCAGGAACACCGAUAGCGAAGGCAUUGUACUGGCCGACAACUGACGCUGAUGCACGAAAGCGUGGGGAUCAAACAGGAUUAGAAACCCCUGUAGUCC
This 444-nucleotide ribosomal RNA is filed under the name uncultured bacterium. RNAcentral's name for it is "partial 16S ribosomal RNA". It matches the Rfam family "Bacterial small subunit ribosomal RNA", at positions 354 to 796 of the family's 1533-position model. The record is from RNAcentral.